This 124-nucleotide ribosomal RNA is filed under the name Sus scrofa (pig). Lineage: Eukaryota; Metazoa; Chordata; Mammalia; Artiodactyla; Suidae. The record is from RNAcentral.
AGUCUAGGCCAUACCACCCUGAACGCACCUGAUCUUGUCUGAUUUCAGAGGCUAAGCAGAGCUGGGCCUGGUUAGUACUUAGAUGGGAGAAAAGGAAGACUAAGAAAAAUAGCCACUUUGCUUU